GUGAAUCAUCGAAUUUUUGAACGCAAAUUGCACCCUCUUCGGAGAGUAUGCCUGUUUGAGGGCCAGCCUAUAAAAAUCGCCAUCGUUGCUGUUUCGCGGUGGCGUUUGUCGGAUAUCGGGUCAUCUUAAUCCCUUUUGAUUUUAUGCGACUCAACAUUCUCUUUUUGGUUCCAUGAACGUUUCUAAGAUUUAUUCCUUUACACGCUUAAGGCAUCGAUUCUUAUUAGACGUGACUAUCAUAUCGGAUCG
RNAcentral lists this unclassified non-coding RNA (249 nucleotides) under Glomus sp. RNAcentral's name for it is "partial contains 5.8S ribosomal RNA and internal transcribed spacer 2". The stretch from base 1 to 65 matches the Rfam family "5.8S ribosomal RNA", at positions 84 to 154 of the family's 154-position model. Lineage: Eukaryota; Fungi; Glomeromycota; Glomeromycetes; Glomerales; Glomeraceae. The record is from RNAcentral.